Molecule: long non-coding RNA, 1105 nt
Filed under: Varroa destructor (honeybee mite)
Lineage: Eukaryota; Metazoa; Arthropoda; Arachnida; Mesostigmata; Varroidae
Description: uncharacterized LOC111248081, transcript variant X3
Source: RNAcentral
CUUGUCGAUUUCAUCAAAGCGGAAGCGCAUGAGAUUUAUAUCCUAUGUGAUAACGUAUUGAUCAGUAACUAUUGGCUCGAGCCCUGUCUAGCGAUAGCGGUUCUUUCCGAGGUGUAUGGUAUACUGCCCUGGAGCAAACGAGAUUGCGGGCUUCUGCUUUCCACCAUGUCAUUGUCUAGUUUCAGCUAAUUUCACCUUCGUGUAUGCGCUACAAGGGAAGCAGGUAACACCCUCGUAAACGUCCUAAUGCUCGACUUCGCUUCGUGAAAGGCUCUCAUAACACACGAACCUACCGAACUAUAGUCUUUAGACCUUCACACUCAGACUGACCGAAGUUGUAUAACCUUUAUUACUCAGUACAUCUUUUUUUCUCAUUCUGUUACUGGCACUCGAGCUGCCGCUACCACUGUCGCCGCCAUGACCAGCACCUGCAAAGUGAUACGGAAAAGUUACAACGACUGUGGCUAACUAUGCAGCGUGUAGAUCUGCUUUGGCUUCCCGUACUUGUCAGAAGCUAAGCGAUAUUUUCAAGGACAAAAAGCGUAUCCAUUGUUUAGUGGUGCAUCUACUCAACAGCCUGGGCGCGACAGGCAACUGCGGUGGCUCGGUGAGCGCGCGAGUCAUUGGCUCGGGCUUGCAGAAAUGUCAUCGAUGUCAUAUUGACGGACUGCGAACGCUCAAAGGGAGCAAGAAAUAGAGAUAGUGACAUUUCCCUACUACACUUUUCCCGAACUCGAAAAAUGGUGGCUGCCAUCGCGUGGACUAGUUCACCAAAUGACGACUGGUGAUCGGUUGUCCUUAUUCCAUUGCGCUGCCCCUUGUACCUUUCUUCGCAUCACAUAACGUAGCAAUAAUUGGCUAGAGACGACUCCCUGGGCCGGCCAAGAGAUGCAGCAGAGCUGUUGGCCGGAAGUGAUAUAUCAUGACCGAGGGCAGACGACAAACCAGAUUGACAAGACCGGAAAUGAUUACACCUACCAGUAGGAACACGAUUUCUAAGAUGACUAAAAAGAAGGAGAGAAAGCGCGUAUUUAAGCUAUUUUUAUGUAGUAGCCAAGUAUAGUAUAUACUAAAGGGCAUCAGCACAAAAUGCGUCACAACUAUA